Molecule: ribosomal RNA, 603 nt
Filed under: uncultured freshwater bacterium
Lineage: Bacteria
Description: bacterial SSU rRNA
Rfam family: Bacterial small subunit ribosomal RNA
Source: RNAcentral
AGAGUUUGAUCCUGGCUCAGGAUGAACGCUAGCGGCAGGCCUAAUACAUGCAAGUCGAGCGGCAAGUUGGGUAGUAAUACUUAACCUAGAGCGGCGCACGGGUGCGUAACGCGUAUGCAACCUACCUUUUACUGGGGGAUAGCCCGGAGAAAUCUGGAUUAAUACCCCAUGGUAUCUACGAAUCGAUUGGUUUGUAGCUUAAAGAUUUAUCGGUAAAAGAUGGGCAUGCGUCUGAUUAGCUAGUUGGCGGGGUAACGGCCCACCAAGGCGACGAUCAGUAGGGGUUCUGAGAGGAAGGUCCCCCACACUGGCACUGAGAUACGGGCCAGACUCCUACGGGAGGCAGCAGUAGGGAAUAUUGGGCAAUGGUCGCAAGACUGACCCAGCCAUGCCGCGUGCAGGAAGACGGCCCUCUGGGUUGUAAACUGCUUUUAUCUGGGAAGAAAAAGUCCAUGCGUGGAAAAUUGCCGGUACCAGAUGAAUAAGCACCGGCUAACUCCGUGCCAGCAGCCGCGGUAAUACGGAGGGUGCAAGCGUUGUCCGGAUUUAUUGGGUUUAAAGGGUGCGUAGGCGGCUGAAUAAGUCAGCGGUGAAAGACUUCGG